CCCCCAGACUCCUACGGGAGGCAGCAGUGGGGGAUAUUGCACAAUGGGGGAAACCCUGAUGCAGCGACGCCGCGUGUGGGAAGACGGUCUUCUGGAUUGUAAACCACUGUCCCCAGGGACGAAAAUGACGGUACCUGACUAAGAAGCCCCGGCUAACUACGUGCCAGCAGCCGCGGUAAUACGUAGGGGGCAAGCGUUAUCCGGAUUUACUGGGUGUAAAGGGAGCGUAGACGGCAUGGCAAGUCAGAUGUGAAAGCCCGGGGCUCAACCCCGGGACUGCAUUUGAAACUGUCAGGCUGGAGUGCAGGAGAGGUAAGUGGAAUUCCUAGUGUAGCGGUGAAAUGCGUAGAUAUUAGGAGGAACACCAGUGGCGAAGGCGGCUUACUGGACUGUAACUGACGUUGAGGCUCGAAAGCGUGGGGAGCAAACAGGAUUAGAUACCCUAGUACGC
This 451-nucleotide ribosomal RNA is filed under the name uncultured bacterium. RNAcentral describes it as "bacterial SSU rRNA". It matches the Rfam family "Bacterial small subunit ribosomal RNA", at positions 328 to 794 of the family's 1533-position model. The record is from RNAcentral.